RNAcentral lists this ribosomal RNA (484 nucleotides) under uncultured bacterium. RNAcentral's name for it is "partial 16S ribosomal RNA". It matches the Rfam family "Bacterial small subunit ribosomal RNA", at positions 30 to 507 of the family's 1533-position model. The record is from RNAcentral.
AUUGAACGCUGGCGGCAGGCCUAACACAUGCAAGUCGAGCGGAUGAAGGGAGCUUGCUCCUGGAUUCAGCGGCGGACGGGUGAGUAAUGCCUAGGAAUCUGCCUGGUAGUGGGGGAUAACGUCCGGAAACGGGCGCUAAUACCGCAUACGUCCUGAGGGAGAAAGUGGGGGAUCUUCGGACCUCACGCUAUCAGAUGAGCCUAGGUCGGAUUAGCUAGUUGGUGGGGUAAAGGCCACCCAAGGCGACGAUCCGUAACUGGUCUGAGAGGAUGAUCAGUCACACUGGAACUGAGACACGGUCCAGACUCCUACGGGAGGCAGCAGUGGGGAAUAUUGGACAAUGGGCGAAAGCCUGAUCCAGCCAUGCCGCGUGUGUGAAGAAGGUCUUCGGAUUGUAAAGCACUUUAAGUUGGGAGGAAGGGCAGUAAGUUAAUACCUUGCUGUUUUGACGUUACCAACAGAAUAAGCACCGGCUAACUUCGUG